Molecule: ribosomal RNA, 253 nt
Filed under: uncultured bacterium
Lineage: Bacteria
Description: partial 16S ribosomal RNA
Rfam family: Bacterial small subunit ribosomal RNA
Source: RNAcentral
UACGUAGGGUGCAAGCGUUAAUCGGAAUUACUGGGCGUAAAGCGUGCGUAGACGGUUAUGUAAGUCAGGUGUGAAAGCCCCGGGCUCAACCUGGGAAUGGCAUUUGAGACUGCAUAGCUAGGGUGCGGAAGAGGGAAGCGGAAUUUCCGGUGUAGCGGUGAAAUGCGUAGAUAUCGGAAGGAACAUCAGUGGCGAAAGCGGCUUCCUGGUCCAGCACCGACGUUCAGGCACGAAAGCGUGGGGAGCAAACAGG